Molecule: long non-coding RNA, 506 nt
Filed under: Cyanistes caeruleus (blue tit)
Lineage: Eukaryota; Metazoa; Chordata; Aves; Passeriformes; Paridae
Description: lncRNA (ENSCCEG00000011013.1)
Source: RNAcentral
CAGCUUCUGAGCUGCAACACAAAAGCCUCAAGGAAACCUUUCUUUCCUGUUACUUACACUCAGAAAUGGAAUUUUGUUGAUGAGUAAUCAGCAAAUAUGAGAGAAAAUCUAGUGAGAAACAGUGUAAUUCCAUAGUUCAGAGAACUGCAUCAGGAACUCCAAGGGUGAUUAGCUGUGAUGGAAGCAGCCAUACUGAAGACAACAAGGGUACAGUGCAACAGGCUCAGCAUCACCCACAGGCAUUAGUAAAUCAUGGUAUCAGAAACAUGGAAAAUCUUCAGUUGGUAAAAACUCACAAGCAGGAAAGCCUGAAUCUCAACCUCAUUUCAGUCAGUGCCAGCCAAAGCAGCCACUGUUUGGGAGUGCUGGGGCAGAGCUGAUCCCUGUGCCAGGGCUGCAAUCAUUGGGUGCUGGCAGAGAAAUGUUCCCUUGAAUUGUGACACAGCCAUUUUCAUCUCACAGGAUGAGAUACAGGAGAGGUCAGUGUAAUCACCAUAACCUACUCC